Molecule: ribosomal RNA, 546 nt
Filed under: uncultured actinomycete
Lineage: Bacteria; Bacillati; Actinomycetota; Actinomycetes; Actinomycetales
Description: bacterial SSU rRNA
Rfam family: Bacterial small subunit ribosomal RNA
Source: RNAcentral
GCGGCCUAUCAGCUUGUUGGUGGGGUGAUGGCCUACCAAGGCGACGACGGGUAGCCGGCCUGAGAGGGCGACCGGCCACACUGGGACUGAGACACGGCCCAGACUCCUACGGGAGGCAGCAGUGGGGAAUAUUGCGCAAUGGGCGGAAGCCUGACGCAGCGACGCCGCGUGGGGGAUGACGGCCUUCGGGUUGUAAACCUCUUUCGACAGGGACGAAGCGUGAGUGACGGUACCUGUAGAAGAAGCACCGGCCAACUACGUGCCAGCAGCCGCGGUAAUACGUAGGGUGCGAGCGUUGUCCGGAAUUAUUGGGCGUAAAGAGCUCGUAGGCGGUGUGUCACGUCGAUCGUGAAAACUUUCAGCUUAACUGGGAGCUUGCGGUCGAUACGGGCAUCACUGGAGUUCGGCAGGGGAGACUGGAAUUCAAGGUGUAGCGGUGAAAUGCGCAGAUAUCUUGAGGAACACCGGUGGCGAAGGCGGGUCUCUGGGCCGAUACUGACGCUGAGGAGCGAAAGCGUGGGGAGCGAACAGGAUUAGAUACCCUGG